This 850-nucleotide ribosomal RNA is filed under the name Escherichia coli. RNAcentral's name for it is "partial 23S ribosomal RNA". It matches the Rfam family "Bacterial large subunit ribosomal RNA", at positions 375 to 1230 of the family's 2925-position model. Lineage: Bacteria; Pseudomonadati; Pseudomonadota; Gammaproteobacteria; Enterobacterales; Enterobacteriaceae. The record is from RNAcentral.
GUACACAAAAAUGCACAUACUGUGAGCUCGAUGAGUAGGGCGGGACACGUGGUAUCCUGUCUGAAUAUGGGGGGACCAUCCUCCAAGGCUAAAUACUCCUGACUGACCGAUAGUGAACCAGUACCGUGAGGGAAAGGCGAAAAGAACCCCGGCGAGGGGAGUGAAAAAGAACCUGAAACCGUGUACGUACAAGCAGUGGGAGCCUCUUAAUGGGGUGACUGCGUACCUUUUGUAUAAUGGGUCAGCGACUUAUAUUCUGUAGCAAGGUUAACCGAAUAGGGGAGCCGAAGGGAAACCGAGUCUUAACUGGGCGUUAAGUUGCAGGGUAUAGACCCGAAACCCGGUGAUCUAGCCAUGGGCAGGUUGAAGGUUGGGUAACACUAACUGGAGGACCGAACCGACUAAUGUUGAAAAAUUAGCGGAUGACUUGUGGCUGGGGGUGAAAGGCCAAUCAAACCGGGAGAUAGCUGGUUCUCCCCGAAAGCUAUUUAGGUAGCGCCUCGUGAAUUCAUCUCCGGGGGUAGAGCACUGUUUCGGCAAGGGGGUCAUCCCGACUUACCAACCCGAUGCAAACUGCGAAUACCGGAGAAUGUUAUCACGGGAGACACACGGCGGGUGCUAACGUCCGUCGUGAAGAGGGAAACAACCCAGACCGCCAGCUAAGGUCCCAAAGUCAUGGUUAAGUGGGAAACGAUGUGGGAAGGCCCAGACAGCCAGGAUGUUGGCUUAGAAGCAGCCAUCAUUUAAAGAAAGCGUAAUAGCUCACUGGUCGAGUCGGCCUGCGCGGAAGAUGUAACGGGGCUAAACCAUGCACCGAAGCUGCGGCAGCGACACUAUGUGUUGUUGGGUA